RNAcentral lists this ribosomal RNA (883 nucleotides) under Pseudocercospora macadamiae. RNAcentral describes it as "eukaryotic LSU rRNA". It matches the Rfam family "Eukaryotic large subunit ribosomal RNA", at positions 113 to 1008 of the family's 3401-position model. Lineage: Eukaryota; Fungi; Ascomycota; Dothideomycetes; Mycosphaerellales; Mycosphaerellaceae. The record is from RNAcentral.
AUUUGAAAUCUGGCGCAAGCCCGAGUUGUAAUUUGUAGAGGAUGCUUCUGGGUAGCGGCCGGUCUAAGUUCCUUGGAACAGGACGCAAUAGAGGGUGAGAAUCCCGUAUGUGACUGGCUUGCACCCUCCACGUAGCUCCUUCGACGAGUCGAGUUGUUUGGGAGUGCAGCUCUAAAUGGGAGGUAAAUUUCUUCUAAAGCUAAAUACCGGCCAGAGACCGAUAGCGCACAAGUAGAGUGAUCGAAAGAUGAAAAGCACUUUGGAAAGAGAGUUAAAAAGCACGUGAAAUUGUUGAAAGGGAAGCGCCCGCAACCAGACUUUGCGGCAGGGUUCGGCCGGUCUUCUGACCGGGUCUCUCGCUGUCCGCUGGCCAUCAUCGUCUGGGACCGCUGGAUAAGACCUUAGGAAUGUGGCUCCCCUCGGGGAGUGUUAUGACCUCUGGUGUAGCCUUUCGUCCCGGGCGAGGUCCGCGCUUCGGAAGUGUGAUGGCGAAAUGCUGCGAGCCUCCCCCACUUGAAACUCUGGCUUCGGAGUCUAACAUCAUAUGCAAGUGUUCGGUUGGGUCCCCCCUACGCGUAUCUGUACUCAAAUCGGAGGUGAGGACAUUUUGGUCGGCCGAUGACCGCACCAUGAUGUUCCUACGACCGUUCAGAUUCAAAACAACGUAUGUUGGUGCCAGCAAAACGCUGAAAUAUACCUGAGUAGGCUUGGAUCCAAGGGUCAACUUUGGGGCGGGGCCCACCCCGGACUCUGAUCAUGCAAUGCCGAUAGCGCAAAUCUUCGCCAUGGGAGGCGAAAGCAUUAACCAGAAGCCAUACUAGUAGCUGCGUACGUGAGCCAAGAUUCCUUAGGUAUAAUAUGCCGUUUUAGACUUAUUAUGAGG